GAUUGGUCCUCAGGUAGUGAGUUAUCUCCAUUGUUUAGUCAGUUACAGAUUGAACUUCUUUUUUCUACUCUUCCCUGCUUUUCACUGCUGCACUUGAUUAGUUUUUA
Callithrix jacchus (white-tufted-ear marmoset) is the source of this 107-nucleotide non-coding RNA. Lineage: Eukaryota; Metazoa; Chordata; Mammalia; Primates; Cebidae. The record is from Rfam.